RNAcentral lists this unclassified non-coding RNA (255 nucleotides) under plant metagenome. Its description in RNAcentral is "partial contains small subunit ribosomal RNA, internal transcribed spacer 1, and 5.8S ribosomal RNA". The record is from RNAcentral.
UUUCCGUAGGUGAACCUGCGGAAGGAUCAUUAUUGUAUAACCGAGGUGCGAGGGCUGUCGCUGACCCGAAAGGUCGUGCACGCCCGAGUGCCCUCACACACAUCCAUCUCACCCCUAUGUGCACCCCGCGUGGGCACCCUUCGGGAUCAUCUCGGAGGGGGGCUCGCGUUUUCACACAAACCCCCCUUUUAAAAGUGUAGAAUGACCACAUUUAUGCAAUCAAUACAACUUUCAACAACGGAUCUCUUGGCUCUG